AAGCCAUGCAUUGGGAAUUUUCUAAUUAACUCAUUGAAUCACUCCCAUGCUUCGUAUAAUGUUUCAUCCUCAUAUUGCCGAAUGGUGUAAUAUCAUUCCUGAAUUG
This 106-nucleotide small nucleolar RNA is filed under the name Gossypium hirsutum (cotton). RNAcentral's name for it is "Plant small nucleolar RNA R71". It matches the Rfam family "Plant small nucleolar RNA R71". Rfam says of the family: R71 is a member of the C/D box family of snoRNAs containing the C (UGAUGA) and D (CUGA) box motifs. Multiple nearly identical copies of this snoRNA have been identified in Arabidopsis, and it is thought to function as a 2'-O-ribose methylation guide for 18S ribosomal RNA. The record is from Rfam by way of RNAcentral. RNAcentral also lists the same sequence under 1 other name. Lineage: Eukaryota; Viridiplantae; Streptophyta; Magnoliopsida; Malvales; Malvaceae.